AAGACAUUUUUUAAUACAUCUUUCAUUUGUUUCUUGUUAGACUUCCAUGAUACAUGGGCCAUCCUGGAUGCUCGAGUGAAAGAUGCUUUUGAUAUAAAGAAAACCAUUCAAGAGCUCCACCAAACAUUGCUGGGAAUCAUUCUGAGAGGGGGAUAU
Arachis ipaensis is the source of this 156-nucleotide non-coding RNA. The record is from RefSeq and is a predicted model, not a curated record. NCBI's taxonomy places the organism in Eukaryota, Viridiplantae, Streptophyta, Magnoliopsida, Fabales, Fabaceae.